Molecule: ribosomal RNA, 446 nt
Filed under: uncultured bacterium
Lineage: Bacteria
Description: bacterial SSU rRNA
Rfam family: Bacterial small subunit ribosomal RNA
Source: RNAcentral
UCCCAGACUCCUACGGGAGGCAGCAGUGGGGGAUAUUGGACAAUGGGGGAAACCCUGAUCCAGCGACGCCGCGUGAGUGAAGAAGUAUUUCGGUAUGUAAAGCUCUAUCAGCAGGGAAGAAAAUGACGGUACCUGAGUAAGAAGCCCCGGCUAACUACGUGCCAGCAGCCGCGGUAAUACGUAGGGGGCAAGCGUUACCCGGAUUUACUGGGUGUAAAGGGAGCGUAGACGGCAGUGCAAGUCUGGAGUGAAAGGCGGGGGCUCAACCCCCGGACUGCUCUGGAAACUGUACGGCUGGAGUGCAGGAGAGGUAAGUGGAAUUCCUAGUGUAGCGGUGAAAUGCGUAGAUAUUAGGAGGAACACCAGUGGCGAAGGCGGCUUACUGGACUGUAACUGACGUUGAGGCUCGAAAGCGUGGGGAGCAAACAGGAUUAGAUACCCCAGUA